CCCUAAGUUUUGAAAGGGGGAUUUCAACCCUAAAUCCCCGAGGGAGACAAUGGACAAGCGACGCAACUCCGCCGAUUCAAGACUGGAGAUUUACGGUGAGCUAGGAAUGAAGCGCGAUGAGCGCCUCACUCUCGACUUCGUGGGUCACACGUUCGUGGUUAUGGACACGCACGAGGACAAGAUCCUGUUCGUCCGCGACCGCAUUCGCGAACGCUUCCACAGUUAUGUCAUCUUUUGUAACACCGCUGAUUCGGUGGCGCUCGUCUCCAGCGCCCUCCUCUCUCCAGCGAAUGACAUGAAAUACAAUCCUUUCGACACCUUUCUCGCCGGUGACGAGUACAAGUUUCGUCGGAGACCGCGAGCGCUGGUUACAAACAGCGAUCUCAGGUAGACAAAAUUGAAUUUUUGUGACUCUUACGUUUGUUUCUCUCAGGGACGAGCGGCUGUUUGAUGAUCUCGACGGGAAUCUGGUGGUAAACUAUGACAUUCCAGACGAUCUGGCGACGUAUUACUACCGUGCUGCAAGAGUUCAUCACGACUGUCGCUCCAAAGCAGUUGUUAAUCUUGUUUUCAAAGAAGAGUUGCACAAGCUGAUGCGUCACGAGGAGCUGCUGCGGCUGGAGAUCUUGCCUAGCCGUCUUAUCAAUGUUCACAUCGACUGGGAGUACGUAUUUGUAUAAACCUCUUUCUUCUCUUUGUUCUUGACAAGCUUUUGCUCGAUCGCGUAGUGAUCCACCAUUAGGAAGAGGCUCACUUACACAGCUCCAAGUCGCGGCUGGACGAGUGAGCAUGGAUGAAUAUCGCAGGUUUGACGAAACAAGAGGGUAAGAAUGUAAAAUCUUUUCAAGUAAAAAACUCAACCUGUUGGUCUCAGGGAAGAAAGACGCAGGGAGAAGGCUCAGCGGACGGAAGCGGCGGGAAGGCAAGCAUUAAUAUUUUUCGUGUCUCUGACUGUUUUUCUAUCUCAGGGUCUCCUUGAGGGUGCCAUGGUUUCACAUUGAGGAUCUAAUCGAGCAGCCAAAAGCACGAAGCAAGAAUGUUAUCGAGCGCCCGAAGCAAGAAAGCAAGAAAAGAAAGGCAGUGGACACUACUAUCGAGCCCCCAAAGCGUUCUCGUUUGUUGCAUAGUCUCUUGGCAUGGUUUGGUUAUCCUGACUGUAUAUAAAGUGAUCUUUUCCGUGAUCGAUGAAACUUUUAAAAGUUUCUUCUGGUUCAUGGAAAAGAUCUUCAGGCAAAGAAAGUGAGAUCUUUCCUAAAUUCUUAUAGCUCGAGCUAAACUUCUUAAUUUUGCAUAGGAGAUUCAUUGCUCUAAACCUUCAAUUCUAGUAUUUCCUGAUGUCGAGAUGUGUUUGCUGCGUUGAAUCGUAAGUCAAGUAAAAAAAUCCUUGCAAGUCAAAAAUCCUAAGGAUUUGAUUCCACCAGGAGGAAGAUUUUGUAGAGCCUUUUCGGCUAGAUGCACCCACAGCUUCUGACUGGCUAGAGCCACAAGUUUUAAAAACUAGACUAGCUAGAAAUGCCCUAAGUUUUGAAACGGAGACCAUGGACAAGCGACGCACCGCCGCGGAUUCAAGGCUGGAGAUUUACGGUGAGCUAGGAAUGAAGCGCGAUGAGCGCCUCACUCUCGGCUUCGUGGGUCACACAUUCGUGGUUAUGGACACGCACGAGGACAAGAUCCUGUUCGUCCGCGACCGCAUUCGCGAACGCUUCCACAGUUAUGUCAUCUUUUGUAACACCGCUGAUUCGGUGGCGCUCGUCUCCAGCGCCCUCCUCUCUCCAGCGAAUGACAUGAAAUACAAUCCUUUCGACACCUUUCUCGCCGCUGACGAGUACAAGUUUCGUCGGAGACCGCGAGCGCUGGUCACAAACAGCGAUCUCAGGUAGACAAAAUCGAAUUCUUGCGACUCUUACGUUUGUCUCCCUCAGGGACGAGCGGCUGUUUGAUGAUCUCAGAGGGAAUCUGGUGGUAAACUAUGACAUCCCAGACGAUCUAGCGACGUAUUACUACCGUGCUGCAAGAGUUCAUAACCGCUGUUCCUCCAAAGCAGUUGUUAAUCUUGUAUUCAAGGAGGAACUGCAAAAGCUGAUGCGUUACGAGGAGCUGCUGCGGCUGGAGAUCUUACCUAGCCGUCUUAUCAAGCUUCACAUCUACUGGGAGUACGUAUUUUACAGUCCUCUUUCUUCUCUUUGUUCUUGACAGGUUUUUGUAGUGAUCCACCCUUGGAAAAAGGCUCACUUACACAGCUUCAAGUCGCGGCUGGACGAGUGAGCAUGGAUGAGUAUCGCAGGUUUGACGAAACAAGAGGGUAAGAAUGUAAAAUCUUUUCGAGUGUAGAAACUCACCCUGUGGGUGUCAGGGAAGAAAGACGUAGGGAGAAGGCUCAGCGGAUGGAGGGAAGGCAAGCAUUAAUACUUUUCGUGUCUCUGACUGUGUUUCUCUAUCUUAGGAUCUCCUUGAAGGUGCCAUGGUCUUACAUCGAGAAUUUAAUCGAGCAGCCAAAGGCACGAAGCAAGAAAGUGGACACUAUCGAGCCCCCGAAGCGAGGAAGCAAGAAAAGAAAGGCAGUGGACACUACUAUCGAGCCGCCAAAGCGUCCUCGUUUGUUGCAUAGAUUCUUGGCAUGGUUUGGAUUGUAAAAGAGGAACGUACACCUCACUGUAUAUUUCCAUGGUCCGGAACUUUUAAAAGUUCUUAAUGUGAAAAAGAAUCAUCUUUCCCAAAUUUCUUCUAGUCAAUAUGUUCGAGCUAAACUUCUUUGCAUAAGCAUUCAUAUAUUCAACUUGCCACCAUUUAGUGCUCCCUUCAAUCCUAAGAUGAUUGAAAGAACUACUAUUUCCUGAAGUUGAGAGGGACUGUGUCCGGGGUAAAGUAGUCUCUAUGAGGUGUACGAAAGUGCAAAUCCUACGCGAGGUCGACUAGCUCUUUGUGGAUCGAGAAGCUAAUGCUGCUAGGCGAGCAAAGGCUUGACAAGCACCCAGACCGGUUGGAAAACAAAUGGUGCAUCAACAAAUAGAACUUUUGCUAGCUUCCUUUGGUAGUAACAGUAAAAGAUGUCGAUCUUGCACAAACAAGCAAGAUCUUCCUUCUCUUCCUCCUUAAGCACUCAAAUGUGGAAGGAGGACUAAACUGGAAGUAAAACUAUCAACAUGGUGCUCAUAGUGGUUUGUACGGGAAAAAUCCUCACCCACGAUUAGCCAUGUUGCAGCCGUGCUGCUACCCGCGAUUGGGAUGUGAAGAUUCACGUGAUGACGGUCCUGAGGAUGGAGUUUGUUGCGUAUCACUUGUCCGGAGGUGGUGUGGCGAAACCACCACAACUAUUAUCAUGACGCCUCCUCAGAAAUUAGCUGUAAUGCAAAGGGUCUGACUGCCCAGAAUUCAACCAAGAGCCAGGCAUGCUACGAGCAACACAUAAGGAAUUCGAUGUACUUAGCAGCUGCACUGUCUUUGUAUGUCGCGAGUGAUCUCUCCGAAACCGGCAGUGGGUCUGUAGCGAGUUUUACGGUCAGUCGGUCAUCACCUCUCUCUGUUGUAGAAAAAUGAGGUGAUAGCGAAUUGCAUUUCUAAUCGCACCAGAUUGGAGAUGCCUGCAUCGAACCACCAGACUCCAUGUUUGAAGCCACACCUGAAUAAACUCAUCUCCAAUUCCAAGCUUUAUGAUCCGGUUGAUUCAUGCGCAUAUGUCCUCAGAAUCCUGCUCGAUCGAACCAACCCAUCACUCCAACAUCGAUUGGCAUAGUGUUGCAUUGUGACAUCCCAUGAUGUUCUGUUACAUAAUGUGACCAUCAUCGUCAUAGCGUUAUAUAAUUUCUUCAAAUGAGAGUUCCACAAUGUUGGAGGUGGUUUUAAGGUUCCCAAGCAUGAACCACAUCUACUUGGUGAUAGAUUAACUCAUGGUGGCAGUGUAGCUUGUAGAUUUUGUUCUUGAUUCCUAGUUCCAUGUCCUAUGUCUCAUAAUUUUCUUGGAAUUAUGUGAUUGUGUAUUUUUGCAGAGAGAGCUCUAUAUAGCACUUUGUGUUGCACUAUAGAGUUGCUCAAAAUCCCAUGGCUCGAUCAACACCUAGUUUAUAGAGUGUUUAAGAAUAUCCAAAGCUAAAUUACAUUUAAUUAUAUUGGUAAAAUCAAAAAUUUUAAAACCUUAUGAUUAUAUUAUAAUUUUCAAAAUGGAUAUUCUACGAUAUUUUACUAUCUAAUAGUUGUUAUUUAUAUAGGUUAGUUUUGUAUUUAUAAUUUAUAAAUUCCAUAGUAUAUUCUUGUUCAUUCUACCAUCUAGUGGUUGAUGAAUCUUAUAUUACAAACAUUUUAAUAAUUAUUAAUCAAUUAGAUUAUUCAAUAAUAAUAAACAAGAAUUAUAAAGCAAAUUAAGUGUUAUUGCAUGCAAUUUGCAAUAAACUAUUAUACUUUCUUAAGCAUUUUAAGAUUUUAAAAAGAUAAUAUAUUAGGAAUAUUCUGAAACAUCCCUUAAAUAGCAAAAUAAAAAAAAAUUUAAACAUUGCAUUCAAUUAAUGAAAUAUGAAAUCAUCUUUAUAAGGAUUUACAUGGUGGAGAUAAUAGCAUUUGGAACUCAUCUUUAGCUUUUGUAGGAUCUUUUAGUUAAGUAAUAUAUUAAUUAUAGUACUAUAACAUAUAAAUUGUAUAUAAGGAAGGGUUUAAACCCCAUCCUUGGAGGGCAAACCUUUUUUGCAAUGUUUUACUCUAGUGUUUGGGAUUUUAUUUUUGUUUUUUAUUCCUUUAUUUCUCUUUUAAAUCUAGAUUUGUAUUAAUUUUUUUGUAAAUUCUAGAAUUCUUGCUAUUGUUGUGUUUAGAUUUGCUCUUCUUUUUACUCUUCAUUGCAUUCCCUUCUUAUGCCAUACCACAUUAUUACCAAUGAAAGAGUAUGUCAUUUGAGGCUAUUGAUGCUGCUUUAUUAAAUUAAGUUUUUAGUGUUCUAGGGUGUGAUUAUAUUGCUCUAUAUCAAUAAAAAAUGGUAAAACACUAAGAAUAUGAUAAGUUGUGUAAUUAUAUCUCACAAAAGUUGGAGACAACAACACACCAAGGAUGGGUAUAACACUAUAAUCGUAACAUUGAUUAACGAGAUAUAAAUGAUGCAAUUUGGUUUUUGGAAAAUGUUUGAAGAUCGAGCUUAUGAAAAGAUGAUGUGUAUGAGCUUAAGUGAAUUUCAUAUUGUAAUGAUGAGUUUGAUUAUUAUAAAGAUAGAUUUGGAGAUGAAAUAGAGAUUUUGUGGGGUAAGUAUUAAUCUUUUAAUUUACCAUCAGAUCCUUUUUCUUUACCUUCUCAUCUUUCCCAACUAUUUUUUUAUUUUUCAGCUUGAACCACUUUUUCAUAUUCUUAGUUGUAAGUCAUAAAUUUUUUAAUCCAAAGUCCUUUAGCUUGGAUAACUACUUAGACAUGGUUUGAAAGUAGACUAAGUUUUGAGAUAACAUAAUGUUUUAAUUAUAAUUUUGCUUUUGUCAAAGCCUUGUAAGAUUUAGAUGAAUAAUUCUUUAAUUUUUUCUUCACUAAAGCUAGCUUUAGUUCUUUUCAAACUGGAGUCAAAGACAAUAGUUACAGACGACUAAUUUUCCUACUUGUAUAUGCCUAAAACAAUUAUGACACACUUAUGAAAAAUAUGUCCUCUAAUACUUAAGUGAGAACUUGCUUAGAAGAAAAGACUUCUAGAGUAGUUAAUUAUGCUUUCCAUAUCAAACAAACUCCAUUCUUUCUUCUUUUGGAUUUUUCUCAUAAAAUUACUUGUAAAAUAAUUUAAACUUGAAUUUCUUGGCAAUAUAUACUGUAUUUCAAUUUCAAACUCAUCCCAUCUUUAUAGCUUUGGUGACAGAUAAAAAUUUUAUUCACUUUUGGUGGCCAUAGUGGGAUAAGCUAGCACUCUAGCUUGAAAAAUAACCAAGAGAAAAUCAUUUGUAAAUUUCAAAUGUGCUCAACACUAAGAAUUAUAAAUAGAUCUUUUAAAUGAUUGCAGAGGCCCUGAAACCCAAACAACACUGAACAAAAGAGUUUUUUUUGCGAUUACAGUGGCAUAAUGUUUAGAUAACACAAGAAAGAUAGUUUUCUGUAUCUAUACUUGCAUUCUUGCCUUUACCUACAAAAUAGUGACAAAUAAACAAAAACAAGAACAUAGAAGGAGAAAAAAAGAAAAUAAAGAAAAGGAGAAUAAAAGAGAACUCAUCAUUAAACCCUAAAGACAUGAGUAAGGAUAAGUAUAUAUCACUAUCUCAACUCUAUUUUGCAUAAACAAUUAUAAAUGGGAGAAACAUGGUUAAUUCAAUGCAAAUUGUUUUUUAGCAUAGUUAAGUAUAUAAUUUUAUAACCAUUUCUAAUUGCUUCACAUUUGUCUAUAAUGAGCAUUGCUUAAGUCAAAUCUUUCUUCUUUGAAUGCCUAAGCUUAAGUGUAACUCCAUUUCGCCUAAAUUUCCUUCUUUACUUUAUUUGGGAAGAUAUACAAAAUAAAACAUUUACUUCUUCAUUACACUAAGUAGGAGUUGGUACAAUAGACAGAACCUUGGCAAUAAAACUUAACUAAGGCCAAGGCAGUGGUUGUUAAAUAAACAAGGUAAAACUGACAAAUUACAAAAGUAUCCCAAGUUUAAAUUUUCUAUGCAUAUUGCAAAAGCUUAUGAAAUUUGAACAAGUCAAAAAUUUGGAAGCAAUUAUCACAAACCACUUUAACCAUUUGAACUAUUUUACACUUAAUACACAUAGCCAAAUUAAUCAAAGCUCAAAAUCUGUCAUAAAGACUUGUAUUAACCAUAAUCGCCCAUUAGCAAAGAAGUUAAAGAGAAAUUUGUCUUGAAAAACAUUUUUUGUCUAGAUAAGUGUUAACAAAUUAACUGAUCAGAUUCAACUUAGACACUCUUUAUUAACUUAAUUAAAUUCAUCUAAAGGAUUGUUUCGACAAUGUAGAAGCGUUGUAAGUAUCAAGUUGUAAGUUGAUAUAAAUACCUCUUACAUGUUACCAUUUGUCAUUUUAGCAUUUGGAACAAUUAAUUCUUCUUCUUCUCCUGCUGCUGCUGUUGCUGCUUUGUGAUCCCCUCUGCGCGAUGGAAUCCAGUCGCAUUCUGACACGUGGCCAAAAAGUAUAUUCGCAUAUAUUCCCUGAUGGACCGCUUCUGUGGAGCUUGUCCCAAUAGCCAUCCGAAGUGUAUAAAUUCCUGCAAGAAUCUGGCGUUUAGAGCCUACAACAAUGCCGAAUUGAUCGAGUGACCAUUAUCAGGUUCUCCAGGCAUUGGAUUCAGACGAAAACAGACGCUCACAGAGCUGCAGAAUAGCAGAAGUUUUUGUCAGUGUUGCCAGUUUUUGAUAGCCUAAAGCGUGGACCAGACUCGAGUAGCUUCUCGAAAUGCCUUGCUAGCCUGAGCUGGUGGUGCCUUACGUGUUCUCGCAGCUUGGUAGCACCAUAGAGUCGCAUGACGAGCCAUAGCUUCAGGUUAUUUGGUGUCAUUAAAACAGAACACUCACCUUAGUUCUCAAGCACUCCGGUAUCACAGAAAGAACUGAAGUUAAAAGCCUCGAAUCCUGAUAGGUGUGUCAAUAGGACUCUCUAGCAAGCUCAGAAUGAUACCUUAACCCAAAGCGCUGAACAGUCAAAAGUUGAUACCGUCAAGGACCACAUUCUACCCAAGAAUAUAGACGUUCUCACCUUUGCAUGACUGUGCUCCAGGCUAUCAUCUUCAAAUCGCAUUAAAAGAAAGAUCUGGACCAAAGUCCAGCUCCACCAAACUUGUGAAGCGGGCAGCAAAGCUUCUGCAGCAUGAAAGGUCCAGCUCGGGUGCAUAAACAGAAGCUAUUUUCAGCUGUUUCUAGCAUCUGGUAGCCCCCUUCUAUUGAAAGACUUUGGCAAGACUUUAAAGCCACACACCGAAUCUGGCUUCCUUCAGCGAGAUUUCCAAAAUCGCUGCGACCCAGCAACGCUUCGUUGUUCUUCGUCCUCCUCUUCAACCUCGUUUUCCAAUCUAGGCCAGCCAUGAUCUGAAACAACUCAAGACUCAGAAACUGAAACAAGUUGACAGGAAGUUCCGAUUUUCUGCUGGCAGCCUGGCACUCGGCGAGUAUAUUGACCAAGGCGUCCAUUCGCUUCUUCACCUCGGCGUUGUGAGUGCUCGCCCACAACUUCGCAGUCGCACUGAGAUAAUGACCUGCGCAGCAGAAUUCAUCCAUAAGAUUCACUCUGGAAACUAGCAGCUUUUAUGAUCGAUCAGGGCUGCCCCGGGCCCGGGAUCGAACGACUGCGGGGGUUUGGGCCCUUUGUUCUUAAAUGUCUGUUUGCAAAUCUUUAUAUAAAAUAUAUUUGGAAUAAUUGUACAGAAUGUUUAAAAAAUAAGGCACAAAAACUGCAAUAAAUAGCAUAAGGAGAAUGGUAAUAAACCUACAAAAUAUUAAAGCUAAAAUCAUCAAUGAUUUAGAUAUAAAAUUAACAUUAAAAUAAUUGUAAAGGAUAUGUGUUUUUUGAUAUACUUCCACCUUGCCAUCAACAUAAGUGCAGCUAAAAGUGGAAAUUUAGUGAUUGGGAUUAAAAUCCCAAUCCAAUUAACAAUUCUGGAAAUUAUCAAAGAAUGAGGUAAAUUAGUAGUAACAAGAGAUUGGGUUGUAUGCCUAAGCAUAAUAGCUCUAGCUUCACCAAUGUAAAAACCUAGUAUAAAUUUAGUGUUAAUAUAAGGAGGAAUAAAAUUAAAUAAAAAGGGUGAAUAAACAAUGCCAUCCAAAUUUCUUUAUUAUAUAGAAAUAUUUAUAGUAUUUUACCUAUAUUAAUUAUUUCUAAAAUGGUCUUGUGGACUCUCUUUGAUUUCCCAAUGGAUGAAUAAAUGCUAGGAAACACUGGAGUGCUCCAAAAGUAAGAAAACAAAUUCUAAAUACUUUAAGGAUUUCACUUAAUUUUAGUACUAUUGAUAUAUGAUGAAAUCCUGUUUCUUUUGCACUUAAAAAAUAAUAAAUUAAAAACAGAUUAAAGGGUAAAUAUAAAUAUGAUGUACUUAUGGAUAGCACACAUCCCAUAACAAUAAUUAAUGAUAAGUUGCAAGGAAAGAAAAAAAUGACAUGAUAGUCAAAUGCUGCCAUGUCAUUAGCAAUAUAAUAAAAAAUCCUAUCAAAAUAGCAAUAUCACGACCUUGGAAAAUGUUGAAGUGGAGGUGUAUAAAGUGGGGCAUUGCAAUUUCUGACAUGUCAUUAAUGGAUAUAAAAAAUCCCACUAAAGUUUCAAAUAUCUCUAGAUAAAACAAAGUAGUGAUGACAUAAUGUCUCUAAUGUGGGAAGGUCUGCUUUGCUAAUGUCAUGUAAAAAUUUGCACUACUAGAUUCUAUACAUUUGAACAUAAGGAGGGUGGCAUUUCAAUAUCAUCAUUGCUAGUAUUAUUUUCCAUAUAUUUGAAAUGAAUGUGCUUGUGGUGCUCUACUAUCCUUAGCCCAGAUGGAUUAUGUUUAAAAUUAUGAUAUUGCUAUUUUGAUAGCAUUUUUUAUUAUAUUGCCAAUGAUGUGAUAACAUUUAACUAUCAUGUCAUUAUUUUCUUUCCUUUGCAACUUGUCAUUAAUUAUUGUUAUGGGAUGUGUGCUAUCCAUAAGUACAUCAUAUUUAUAUUUUCCCUUUAAUCUGUUUUUAAUCUAUUAUUUUUUAGGUGCAGAAGAAAUAGGAUUUCAUCAUAUACCAAUAGUACUAAAAUUAAGUGAAAUCCUUAGAGCAUUUAAAAAUUUUUCUUUUACUUUUGGAGCUACUCUAGUGUUUCCUAGCAUUUAUUCAUCCAUUGGGAAAUCAAAGAGAGUCCACAGGACCAUUUUAGAAAUAAUAAUAUAGGUAAAAUACUAUAAAUAUUUCUAUAUAAUAAAGAAAUUUGGAUGGCAUUGUUUAUUCACCCUUUUUAUUUAAUUUUGUUCCUCCUUAUAUUAACACUAAGUUUAUACUAGGUUGAGUUUUAUACUUGCAAUUAGAAUUUAUAUAAUACUUGGUGAAGCUAGAGCUAUUAUGUUUGGGCAUACAACCCAAUCUCUUGUUACUACUAAUUUACCUCAUUCUUUGGUAGUUUCUAAAAUUGCUAAUUGGAUUGGGAUUUUAAUCCCAAUCACUAAAUUUCCGCUUUUAGCUGCACCUAUGUUGAUUGACAUGGCAAGGUGGAAGUAUAUCAAAAAACACAUAUCUUUACAAUUAUUCUAAGGUUAAUUUUAUAUCUAAAUCAUUGAUGAUUUUAACUUUAAUAUUUUGUAGGUUUAUUACUAUUCUCCUCAUGCUACUUAUUGCAGUUUUUGUGCCUUAUUUUUUUAACAUGAUCGAGUUAGUAUGGUCAUCCUUAACUAUUGCUCUUUGCACAAUUAUUCCAAACAUAUUUUACAUGAAGAUUUGCAAAUGGACAUUUCAAGAAAGCAUCUAUAAUAAUAAGAACAAAGGGCCCAGACCCCCGCAGCCGUCCGAUCCCGGGCCUAGGGCAGCCCUGCUUAUGUUUUGCUUUUAACAUUGUGGCUGGGCUUUCUGGGAUGAACAGAGGGCUGCGUCUAUUGUUCAAUCACUCCAUAGCAAUGCCUUGCUGCUGCUGAUGAUGAUGAUGAAGAUGGUUAUGGUGUUCGCUGUGAAAUAGAUUUGGGCUAAACAGAUAAUGGUGUUGCUGAAUUCAGCUAUGCCAAGCUCAUGUACCUCAAGUUCAUGGCCAUUCCUUGCCCCUGCGGAAAGUCCAGAUCGAUGCGGCACCUUAAUCCAGGCAGCAAUAGAAUCUUUGGAGGAACUAGUACCCAUUGCAUCAAGCAGCAGUAGAUCUAAUCAACUGCCCAGCAGCCCCAGCUCCAUGGAUCCCUACGAAGUGAUGCAGCUAGUGUUCACCAGAGUUCAAGCUCAGGAUCCGGAUUCUGGAAAGUGGCUCCAAUAUCAUGGGCUACUUGUUGCUGGACUGAAGCAAGUAGGAAAUGGCUCAAUUGGCAGUGAACUCCGAUGCGCUGCUUCAAUCCAGAGUCAAGACCAAACUCUGAUCCUCAUGCUCAAUGUGGGUAAUAUGGCAUAUAGCUUCUACAACACUUCUAGACUCCCCAGUGCCUUAUGGAUGCUGGGAAGCUCCAAAUCAAGAACUCAAGGGGCACUUUCUUGAUAUGUCUAUUGUAAGUACUGCCAUUCCUUUUGUUUCUUGAUCAUCCUUGGUAUAGAACUGCUAGAACUUCUCAUUGAUCAUAAAAGCUACUAGUUUCCAGAGUGAAUCUUAUGGAUGAAUUCUACACAGCCCAAAGGGCAUCACUAGAAACUCAAUGCUUCCAUACUUUGUUUGAUAAGUUGUCUUCUCGACAUCUUCUUCUACUACUUUGAUCUAGUAGUAUUUUGACCUUACAUCAAUCCUCGAUAAGUAUUUCACUUUUCCCAACAUAUCAAAUAAGUCCUCAAUCCUUGAUAAAGGGUACUUAUUCUUGUUUAUAUAUUUGUUGAGCAACUCAUAGUCUAUACACAUGCACAUAAAUCCAUUUUUCUUUGUUACAAAUAACAUCAGUGCUUUAUAUAAUGACUUGCUCAACUUAAGAUACCAUUUAUCCACCAACUCCUCAAAUUGGCACUUGAGCUCCUCAAGUUCCUUUUAAUUCAACUGAUAGGGGGAUGAACCACUGCUUUAACACCCUCGACCAGCAUUCUAUUGGUCGUAUAAGGGGUAAUCCUGCCGGUAGUUCCUUCGGUAUGGUAUUUUGAAAUUGGUUUAACACCUGCUGGAUCACUAAAGGUAUUUUUUUUGUUCCCAUCUUUUUAUCACUCCCCACUAAGAGUAAAUACAAAAAUGCAACCUUAGUUCUUUUAAUGAGUUGUCCUUUCAUGAACACUAGGUUUAAGCAAGAGUCUCUGGCCUUACAUUGCUCUACCUUUAGAUCUUGGGCUUCCACCUUUGAUCAUUUUCCCACCAAGUUUUUACCUUGUCCAUGUAGGGCAUAAAUUAAUUGAACCAAUCCAUCCCAAAUAUUAUAUCAAAUUCUAUCAUAUCCAAUAUAGUGAAAUCCAUGUCUACUUUCCAUGUCCCUACUUCAACUCUUCCUUGUUAAAAUACUUCAUCGGCACUUUGGCUAUCUUGAACAAACUUUAUAGUCCUUGGCCAGCCAUUGCACCGUUGUCUGGUUUGCCAAACUAUAUUUGUAACCACAAAAUUAUGCAAAACACUCGUGUUAAUAAGGAUCUUGAUAAAGCUACUUUCGAGCUUCCCUCAGAGGGUUAGUAAAUGUCGUAAAUGACUCUUUACCAAAGUUGUUCAUAUAAUGGGUAACCUUGAGUUAGGGACUAGAUCAUGUACCUCAGUUUGAAUUUCACCAGACUUAAUAAUCAUAUUGACUCUUGCCUUCUUCAGGUAAGGACAUUCUUGUAAGCGACUAAAUUUUCCAUUCUACUUUAGUCAUUUAACCACACCUCCGACCACUUGGAAGAGUCUCAUUCACAACCUCCAUAAGUCCAAUUUAGAACUUGGGACUUGCUAGCCCCAAGAAUGGCAUCCAUGCCACUCAACCUUUGCACCUGGUCCAAAUGCUCCACAUGUCCGAUCCCAUGAUUGACACUCAAAGGUACCACCGACAUAGCAGCCUGUUACACUAAGGCCAUGUCCAAUCACCUUUACCGCACUGGUAGUCCAAUACCACUUGCAACACAGUCUUGUCUCUUCAAGACUGGGCCAACCAUCCGUGAAUGGUCAUCUCAGAUCCACUCCUUAGCAUCCUUAGGAUGCCCACUGACAAGGGGAACAACCUUCCCCAAUAUCCCUCUGUCCGUCCCCACUAAGUCCCUUUUUGCCCUUGGCCGUGUUUGCCAACACUGCCACUGGGUCGAGGCCCACAAGCCUGACCACUAAGUCCCAUGGUCCUCUGGGACUUCCUCACCACGUGACCGUAUCCUUGGCCACCACACCAAAGAACUGCUCCUUUUCCUUUCCACAGUCUGGGACUUUGGGACAACACUUCAAAAUACCGUGGCCUUACAUAAGCCACCUGGGUACUCUCCCCGCCUUCCACCUUUGGGUGCUCUAGCCAUGGGCUUAGAGCGAGGUUCCGUUGAGCCACGCUUGGUAUCCAAGUAGGUAGUGCCACCCACACUUGGACUGGGAGUAUCGGCUAGUCGAUCUCCCGGGGGAACUAGAGCUGGCUCUUGAACAUUUCACCAAGCUACCUCGCUUGUCGGUCCGUAUUCACUCUAGUCUUGGACUUCCCAGUGGUCAGUUCAUCACCCAACACUGGAUCUGGCCUUUCCUGGCCAAACUGGCUCCAUUGCAGUCCUCCCCCUUACUAUACUUUUGGAGCUCACCAAACCCCCCAGGGUCUGGGAGACGAAUGCUUUGGGCUUUCACCCUCUCAGACUCGAACUCGGACUCGGACUUGGACUCGGACUAGGACUCGGACUCGGGCUCAAGCUCAGUCUCGGCCUCGGCCUUGGUCUCGGUCUCGGUCCCGGUCUCGGUCUCGACCUCGAACUCCAUCUCGGGUCCUUCUCGGACUCCAUCUUGGAUUCCAUCUCGGGUCCAUCUCGGACUCCAUCUCGGGCUCUGUCUCGGACUCCAUCUCGGACUCCAUCUCGGGUCCAUCUCGGACUCCAUCUCGGGUCCAUCUCGGACUCCAUCUCGGGUCCAUCUCGGGUCCAUCUCGGACUCCAUCUCAGACUCCAUCUCGGGUCCAUCUCGGACUCCAUCUCGGGUCCAUCUCGAACUCCAUCUCGGGUCCAUCUCGGACUCCAUCUCGGGUCCAUCUCAGACUCCAUCUCAGACUCCAUCUCGGACUCCAUCUCAGACUCCGUCUCAGUCCAUCUCGGACUCCAUCUCGGGUCCAUCUCGGACUCCAUCUUGAGUCCAUCUCGGACUCCAUCUCGGGUCCAUCUCAGACUCCAUCUCAGACUCCGUCUCGGUCCAUCUUGAACUCCAUCUCGGACUCCAUCUCGGGUCCAUCUCGGACUCCAUCUCGGGUCCAUCUCGAACACUUCCACGUGUCAUGUGUUGGUCCUUUUUGGGUCCUUUUUUGGAGCCUUGCUUAUUGGUUGCCUCGUGCUCGCUCCUUGAGCACUUUGUUGGGAGUUCCACUCCCGCUCUCGACCUUCCAAGUCGGAGCUUUUGAUCCAAAUGUGUUAUGCUCAUUUGGCUUUUGCUUCAGCCACUACCAUGUGGCACCCUUUCCGGCUCCACUUUGGGGCCUAGGGAUUUUGUGUCUCACAACUCCACCACCCAUAGACGAAGUUCGAUGUCCUCAUCAAACGGUAAACCAUUUUAUAAAGUAACACCCGCAUGUGUUACCAUUUCCAUCCUUGGCACCUAGCCUAUAUUUGUCAAUGGUGUGAUAUUGAAGGCUCACUAUGCCUUCUCCAUAUUCGUCAAUGGUUUGACACCAAAAGCUCACCAUGCCUUGCCUAUCCUCUAAGGAGCAUAGUCUUUCCAACAUGAAGACUUAUUCAACCACCUGGGGUGGUUUACUCCCUUUUAUUGGUUUAGUUCUUGCUAAACCUAUUAAAGACAUCUUCUCUAACUCAAUUCUCACUACUCCUACUCAAGUGGUCUCAGUUCCCAUCGAUAUAACUUUUGCACUUUGGAACUUUUAAUUUUGACUUCCUAAAGUCAAUUUCCUAGGUGUCUCCAACACCUUGCUUUGCACCUUUUGUGCAACUCCGCUUCCCCAUCCUAGGAAGUUCUCUACUCAAGGGCACCAUCAUCCUCUUUUCUAUUUUGUGCCACCAUUGGCACUAUGUUCCCAUUAUCAUUAUUUAUGCCACGACCCUACCCUUUGGCUACUUUGCCGCUCCUCACUUGGAGCUUUUAUUUCGCCAAAUUGGAGCACUUGGGAAUCUAUCCUUGGAAGUCCACUUCCCUUCCCACAAUCCGUUAGCACCCAACAUGUUAGUGUUCUCUGCCUAACUUUGCCAUUUGGUUUCUUUCCCAUGAUUCCCAUGGCUCUUUUCUUAGCCACUAGUCUUUUGCUCCUAUCCUUGAUUGUUACACCUAACAACAUUGGAUCACUACCUCCAUUCUUGAGGUAUCCUUUUGAUUCUAUAGCAAAGAUUUUGCUUUGCCAAGUCCAAAGGGUGUUCACCCUUAGUACGUUUCUUUAACAUUUCCUGUUGUGGGCUCUAUCCACGGCCCAAUUUUUGAGACCCUCCUUGGAUCUUUUAUAAGGACUACUUUCCUCAAACUUACUAUGCCAUAGCAGUGACAUAGCUCAUUUCCUAUAGGUGCUCUUUCCACUUGGUCAUCUUGACCAAGCCACACCAUUAUCAAUAGUUCAAAUCAACACUUUGAACUAGGAAUCAUAUCCCUUAACCUAAACAAAGACCUUAUCCUUGUUUAGCCACAAGAUCACCUAGUGAUCUCAUCUUGACCCCUUAAUAAGUCUACCAAUAGAGACUAGAUCUUCCAGACCCUUCUAAGUUGUUGACUAUGACCCCGGGGGCAUCCCCCACACUUGGCAGUGUGCCCAAGCCAGCCCUUCUGACCAAGGAUCCAUAGCAACUGAGACUGAGUGUCCCCAUCUCAUUCACCACGUCCUUGGUGCCCUUUGCACUAAAGUGUUCAAGUUAGAUAUGCCGAGCUUUCACUCUAAGCAAUCUAACCGUGUAUCACGACUCUGGGGCAUCCCCCGCUUGGCAGUGUGCCCAAGCCAAUGUCCUCGACUCUCCACGCCGGUGCACCAACUUAUAGUUAAAGUGCGCUAUAGAUCACAGCUUAGGAGCCUAGUUCCCCCGCACUGCCAAGUCCUCUCACUUGACAAGUCUAUGAUCAUGCAUGGACUCCUCCAUGUUCGGCCCCAUGGGCCACCCUUUUUGAAGUUAGCACCUUCAACUAGGGUAUUUGUUCCCCCGACUUGCCACUCUCGCUUGGCAAGUCCUUCGACCACUAUAACAUGGUUUCUGCAUAAGCGUGAAAGUCCUUGACCAUCGACUUUCAUUCAAAGCCUUCUUUUUGAACACUCAGGAACUACUUCCCUAACCUUGAUAGCCUUGCCUCAUGGCAAGCUUCAAGACCACGUUUCUGCUGUCCCACUUUGAUUUCGCGCGUUCCAUGAACCAUUUACACUUGGCCUUUCUAGGUACUAAGCUACCUAGAAUCGUCUUUGGGAACUUUGAAGGAACUUUGUCCCUUAGCUUGCUAAGGCCUCCCUUUACAUAAGCUUUCUAGUUGCCAUAUAGUCUAAUAUGGACAACUCCAUAUUUUAGACUCUCCAUGGCAUCACAGUUGCUAGCAACAACACCCUCGAGCCCCCACUUGAUUCUCCACUCCCAGUUAGCAUAACCAACCUUGGUUAUUGUAAGCCACAAAUUUUUCCUUUCCAAUUUGCCAGCUUACCUCGUCUAUCCGACCAACUCUGCCUUGGCUUGUGCUAAGUUCCCUCGCCAAGGUUCUCGCCUAUGGUACCAACUCCUACUUGGUCCUACUUGGUUUUAGCUACUCACUGCACGAGCAAUGGAGUGUUAGCCAUCCAUCUACGGAUUCCCAAAUCUCUCCCAAUCCCCCUCCCCGGGUUAGACUGGACUUAAGGUUCGGCUACACUCCCCGCAGGCACAAGCAGCCAAGCACACCAAGCCUCCAGAUUCCUAACACCCCUUGGUACCACAAGACUUGAUCAUGGGACCCUCUAAAUCCCAAGUCUUGGGUGCAGCACUUGCUUCGGGACGUCGGGGCGAAACACCGUGGCCUAACGGCCCGGUAUGAGUACCUCUACCCCCCCUCUUCCAUCCCGAAGGGAAGGCCCAAGCCCCCGGAAGGGCGAGGACCAAUGAGCCACAAGGUACUCAAGUGGGGCACCACUCCACCUGAGCCGGGAGCACCGCAGUCGGUUUCCCUUUCGGGAGUGGGAGCUGCUCUUGAGCACUUCCUUGGAUGGCCCCUCCGGCACCAGCCAAGUCCAUGCUCACUCCCACCCAAGGCCCCUCGGUCCCAGUCUCAACCUCAAGUCGGUUUGGAAGCCCAACUGGAGAGUCCCUUCAAAACUGGUUCCUGGACCUCACUAUCCCUACUAUACUUUUGGAACCCCCUGCAGCCCCCCCCCCCCCCCCCCCCCCCCUGGGAGACGCACGCUUUGGGCUUUCACCCCUUGACCCAUAUUAGUAUUUGGACUUAGUCUCUGGCUCGAUCUCGGACCCAAUUUCGGAUCCGACUUCGGAUUCGGUCUCGGACUCGAUCUCGGACUCGAUCUCGGACCCGAUCUCGGACCCGACCUCAGACUCGACCUCGGACUCGGUCUCGGACCCGAUUUCGGAUCUCGGACUCCGUCUCGAACUCGGUCUCGAACUCGGACUCGAACUCGGACUCGAACUCGGUCCCCGAGUUGGUCUCGGACUCGAUUCCGGACUCUAUCUCGAACUUGGUCUUAGAGUCGGUCUUGGACUCGAUCCUCGACUUGGUCCCAUCCGAUGAACUCUUUGUCAUUUCUGUCAAGCUUUUGGGGAUCCUUUAGCCUACGACAUCUCGGGGAGUCGGUUCCUUACAACUCUACCACCCAUAGAAGAAGUUCGAUGCCCACAUCGAACGUCUUGUUUUAUCCUAUGACUUGUUGACCAUGUCUCCGGGGGCAUCCCCCCACUUAGCGGUGUGCCUAAGUUAGCCUCCCCGGCCAAGAGCCCAUGACAACGGAAUAUAGGUGUCCCUAUACUCCUCACCUCACCACGCCCUAGUAUGGGGUCGGGACUUGAACCCAGCCUUGCUUUACUAGGGGGUUGGGACUCGAACCCAACCUCCGUAGAAUACGUCUACGGAUUCGACAUCCCCGCGGGGAGUCGGGCGUAGUGCCCUACGCCUGGUCGACCUAUCCAACCCAUGCUAAUUAGCUUACCUUUGGCACGCCUUCGGGUCCCAACAUAUGCCAUUUGCUCAACUUUGCAAAUUGAUAUUUUUAAUUGAAUUUUGCAUAAGUACAUAGAGUUCUGCCUUGCAGAAAUUUCUCCACUAGAUCUCGCGCGUUCGCUAGGUUCUCCUCCGGUUCCCAUGUUGCUUCGCAGUGUGGAAAUCCUUUCCACUUCACAUGGAACUCUCUCACCUCGUGUCCUUGUCGCUUGCUCUUGCGCGCAUUGAGGAUGGCCUCGACUUCGUAUUCCUCUUCCCCUUGGAUAACCUCAGGUAAAGGUCUCACUUGGUCCUUGCGAAGCGGAUCCUCAAAGUACGGCUUGAGUAAGUUCACGUAGAACACUGGGUGCAUCUUCCCCAUCUCUCGAGGAAGUCGGAGUCGGUAAGCCAUUUUACCGAUUCGUGCCUCAAUCUCGUAAGGCCCCGCGAACCUGCUUAAGGAACUCAAGAUCAAUUCAUUUACAGGAAUACAUGCAUCUUUACCUUUGGGUCAACUUUCGGCUGAUCCCACUUGGUAGUCUGAGGUUCUUGGUGUUCAGCCACACCUUCUCCCCAGCUUGGAACUCUACAUCCCGACGCUUCUGGUUCGCGUAUUUGGUUUGCCUUUGUUGAGCCCGUUCCAAGGAAUCCCUCACUAGAUUCCAAAUGUUGAGUCUUUCCGCCGUGAAUGCCUCCACUGCGGGCAACUCUCCAUGAUACUCGGCCACGCCGAGUUCCACAGGACCUUCAAUAGCUCGCCCAUUGAUGACUUCCCAUGGACUCACCCCGAUACUCGAAUGUGGUGAGUUGUUAUAACACAUUUCCGCAAGUCCCAAAUGACUUACCCAAUCAGUCUGGUCUCCCGAGACAUAGCAUCACAAAUAAUCCUCCAGCUGCCUAUUCACCCUUUCCGUUUGUCCGUCUGUCAAGAAGUGUUAGUGCCAACAACUUGACUUAAUACCCCAUACCUGUCUGUGGGUGAUAGGCUGUGCUGAAUUUCAACUUGGUGUGAUACUGUUCCAGGAGAGUCCUCCAGAACCUACUAGUGAAGAUCUUAUCUUGAUCUGAGAUGAUCUCUUCCGGUCUUCCCCGCACUCGAACCACUUGUUCGAAGAACAGCUUUGCCACACCUUCCGCAUCCACCUCCGUUGUGGUGGGUAUGAAGUGUGCCAUUUUCGAAAAUUGGUCCACCACCACGAAUAUCGCAUCAAACCCCUCGCUUGGGAGGAGUCCCGUGAUGAAGUCCAUCGUAAGACAUUUCCACGGGCGAUCUGGAAUUGGGAUGCUUUGCAACAAGCCCCCACUAGCCUUAGUCACGGCUUUUACCUGCUGACAUGUUGGACAUGUCUUUACAUAGUCUUGGACGUCCUUAGCCAUAUCUGGCCAAUGGUACUUCCUUUUGAGUAAGCCCAUCAUCUUGGGCACUCCACCGUGUCCCGCAAGAGGUCCGUCAUGACACUCUUCUAAGGCCACCUUCCUUAGUUCCCCUUCUGGAAUAUACACCCUCGUUUGCUUGUAAUAAAUGAGUCCGUUGUGUUCCGCAUAGCCCGUUUUCUCUUCCGUUGGCAGCUCACCUCUCUGGUGAGCUUCCCGCGCCUCUAGAUUCCUCAGCAACACUUCCUGUGCUAGACCAUCGUUCUCAUAUGCUGUCCGCACAUCGUCCCAGAAGGUUGCUGUGGCGCUGGAUAUUGCCAACCUCAAGCUCGCUUUUCGACUUAGCGCAUCCGCCACGAUGUUGCUCUUCCCAGGCUUGUACAGAAUUUCGCAAUCAAACUCGGCCAAGGCAUUGGCCCACCGACCUUGUUUCCCUCUUAGGUCGGGCUGUGACAAGAAGUGUUUCGUUGCCACAUUGUCCGUGUAAACCUUGAAGUGUCUCCCAAGGUAGUGCCGCCACUCCUUGAGCGCCUUGACCACCGCAAACAAUUCCUUCUCGUGGGCAGGCCACUUCCGUUGAGCCUUGUCCAGCUUCUUCGAGAAGAACGCUACCGGAUGGUUGUCUUGCUUCAAAACUGCGCCCAACGCAAAGUCCGAAGCAUCCGUUUCUACCUCAAAGUCCUUACCAAAGUCCGGUAAUGCCAAUACGGGAGCCUUCCUCAACUUCCCCUUGAGGUGGACGAAUGCCGCCUCGCAUUCCGCUGUCCACACCAUCUUCCCUUUUCCUGUUUGGUCCGUUAAGGGCAGGGCUACUCUCGAAUAGUGUCUGAUAAACUUUCGAUAGUAGUUGCAUAGCCCCAGGAAUGCCCUCAACUCGUGUACAUUGGAUGGUCGCUCCCAUUCCUGGAUCGCUUGGACCUUCUCCGGGUCCACCUUGAGCCCAUCCUGGCCCACCACAUGCCCGAGAAACUUUACCUCUUGUUGAGCAAAGUCACAUUUGCUCUCUUUAGCAUACAGCUUGUGUUCCCUUAGUUUCUCAAACACCUUCGCCAAGUGUUCGGCAUGCUCCUCUAGCGUCUCGCUAUAGAUCAGGAUGUCGUCGAUAUAGACGACCACAAAGUGAUCCAGAUAGGGUACAAAGAUGUGGUUCAUUAGCGCCAAAAACGUUGCCGGCGCAUUGCAUAGCCCGAAGGGCAUCACCAGAAACUCAAAGCUCCCAUACCUCGUUUGACAGGUUGUCUUCUUGACAUCUUCCUCGGCUACCCUGAUCUGGUAGUAUCCUGACCUUAGGUCAAUCCUUGAGAAGUAUUUUGCCUUUCCCAACCUAUCGAACAGGUCCUCAAUCCUGGGCAAAGGGUACUUGUUCUUCUUUGUAUACUUGUUGAGCAACUGGUAGUCUAUGCACAUGCGCAUAGAUCCAUCUUUCUUCUUCACAAAUAACACCGGCGCCCCAUACGGCGACUUGCUCAACCUAACAUACCCUUUGUCCACCAACUCCUCUAGUUGGCACUUGAGCUCCUUGAGUUCUUUUUCGUUCAAACGAUAAGGGGGACGAACCACUGCCUCAGCACCCUCGACCAGCUCAAUCUUAUGUUCUAUCGGUCGUGCUGGGGGUAGCCCCGCCGGUAGCUCCUCCAGCAUGGUAUCCUGGAAUUGGUCCAACACCCGCUGGAUCACUAAAGGUACUUCUUCCAUUCCUGUCUUUUUGUCACUCUUCACCGAAAGUAAGCACAAAAAGGCCGCCUUAGUUCCUUUAGUGAGUUGUCCUCUCGUGGACACCAGGUUUAAGCAGGAAUCUUUGGCCUUGCUUUGCCCUACCUUUAAAUCUUGGGCCUCCACCCUAGAUCUUCUUCCUUGGGCAUUCGCCAGUACCACAAGGUUUCUACCUUGUCCAUGCAGGGCUACCACGAAUCAAUUGAACCAGUCCAUUCCGAAGAUCACGUCAAAUCCCGCCAUGUCCAACACGGUGAAAUCCAUGUCCACCUUCCAAGUCUCCACUUCGACUCUCGCUUGUCGAAGUACCUCAUCGGUGCUUUGGCUACCUUGAACAAACUCUAUAGUCCUUGGUUUGCCUAGCCGCUGCACCGUUAGUCCGGCUUGCCGGACUAUGUUUGCAGCUACAAAAUUAUCCAAAGCACCCGUGUCAAUAAGGAUUUUAAUAAAGCUACCUCCGAGCUUCCCUCGGAGGGCUAGUAGAUGUCGCGAAUGACUCUCUACCAAAGUUGCUCAUGUAAUGAGUAACUUUGAGUUAGGGACUGGAUCACAUACCUCCGUUUGGACUUCACCCGAUUUGAUGGCCAUAUUGGCUCUGGCCUUCUUCGGGUAAGGACAUUACCUCGAGAAGUGUCCCGCUUCACCGCAGUUGUAGCAUACGUUGUUUCCCACGCUGCUAUACGACUUGACCUUCUUAUCCGUGGGUUUGUCUCUUUUCGCUUGACUCCCCCACGUACUCGCUCGCUGGCCACCGGAUUUGCCUUUCCGGAACCCCGAGGACUCAUUCUUAGAGAAACUCCUCUUGAAUUUCCCUCUGCUAAACGUUCCCCUUGGUUUGGCCCCUUUGCUAAACGUGGAUCCCGACCCCGUCGUGUUCCUUUUUCACAGGUUAUCGUUGAAAUGCACCUUGAUGGCUGCAUCCAACGCUUCCUUGUAGUUGGUCGGGUUCCACCGCAUUACUUCGCCGCGAGCCCAGGUUUGCAAACCUGAUAUGAAGGCAUGGAAUGCAUCCAUAUCCCCCAUGUCCGUGACAAGUAUCCUCUUUGCCAUAAACCCAUUCACAUACUCCUGAAUGGUUCCGGUCUGCUUCAGCCUACUCAGCUCAUCCCUUAGGUGCAGAGUAGCAUUCGAAGGAACGUAAGUUGCGCGGAUCCUCGCCUUCAUCAUUUCCCAAGUGGCCACCGGUCCUUCGUUGGCCUCCGUUGUUCUCCACCAAGACUUGGCGUUAUCUGCCAAGUAUGGUUUUGCAUAUGGGACCUUCUCCGAGCUCGGUAAUCGCAACGCUCGGAAGUAGUCCUCCAUAUCGUAAAACCAAUCCUCCACCACCUUAUAGUCGUUCACUCCCUUGAAGACCGGUGGGGGCUUCGGUUUGUACUUGGGAACUGCCUGGGGGACUGAUUCCACUUCGGUUUGUUCGACCUUGUCUGGUUUUGCCUCAGUCCCUACCGAAGGGUCUGCACCUUCUGCGCUGCCAGCAUCCGCAGUCUUUCGCUUUUUCUUUCGCUUCUCGUCACGCUUUAGCUUGCGUACGAGAGUCUCUAGCAGGGCAUUGGUCUGUGCCAAUUGCCCUUCUAGAACGUCCAAUCGAGCCUUGGAUGACCGAACCUCACCACCGGACUCCUGUUUGGAAGUUGCCUCACUGGAGUCCUCCUCAUGCAACGAUUCCUCAUCCAUAGCCUCUUGUUCGACCGGAGGCUCCAGCUCUGGAGGAGGUUCUGUUUCCGCCUGGGUUCGCUUACGUCCUGCCCUUGCCAUCUCCCAGCAAUCCGCCUCUAUCCUUCGCUAGAACUGAGGAAGAGGCUCCGAUACCAAAUUGUAAGCCACAAAUUUUUCCUUUCCAAUUUGCCAGCUUACCUCGUCUAUCCGACCAACUCUGCCUUGGCUUGUGCUAAGUUCCCUCGCCAAGGUUCUCACCUAUGGUACCAGCUCCUACUUGGUCCUACUUGGUUUCAGCUACUCACUACACGAGCAACGGAGUGUUAGCCAUCCAUCUACGGAUUCCCAAAUCUCUCCCAAUCCCCCUCCCCGGGUUAGACUGGACUUAAGGUUCGGCUACACUCCCCGCAGGCACAAGCAGCCAAGCACACCAAGCCUCCAGAUUCCUAACACCCCUUGGUACCACAAGACUUGAUCAUGGGACCCUCUAAAUCCCAAGUUUUGGGUGUAGCACUUGCUUCGGGACGUCGGGGCGAAACACCGUGGCCUAACGGCCCAGUAUGGGUACCUCUACCCCCCCUCUUCCAUCCCGAAGGGAAGGCCCAAGCCCCCAGAAGGGCGAGGACCAAUGAGCCACAAGGUACUCAAGUGGGGCACCACUUCACCUGAGCCGGGAGCACUGCAGUCGGUUUCCCUUUCGGGAAUGGGAGCUGCUCUUGAGCACUUCCUUGGAUGGCCCCUCCGGCACCAGCCAAGUCCAUGCUCACUCCCACCCAAGGCCCUCGGUCCCAGUCUCAACCUCAAGUCGGUUUGGAAGCCCAACUGGAGAGUCCCUUCAAAACUGGUUCCUGGACCUCACUAUUCCUACUAUACUUUUGGAACCCCCUGCAGCCCCCCCCCCCCCCCCCCUUGGGAGACGCACGCUUUGGGCUUUCACCCCUUGACCCGUAUUAGUAUUUGGACUUAGUCUCUGGCUCAAUCUCGGACCCGAUUUCGGAUCCAACUUCGGAUUCGGUCUCGGACUCGAUCUCGGACUCGAUCUCGGACCCGAUCUCGGACCCGACCUUGGACCCGACCUCGGACUCGACCUCGGACUCGGUCUCGGACCCGAUUUCGGAUCUCGGACUCCGUCUCGAACUCGGUCUCGAACUCGGACUCGAACUCGGUCCCCGAGUCGGUCUCGGACUCGAUUCCGGACUCUAUCUCGAACUCGGUCCUAGAGUCGGUCUUGGACUCGAUCCUCGACUUGGUCCCAUCCGAUAAACUCUUUGUCAUUUCGGUCAAGCUUUUGGGGAUCCUUUAGCCUACGACAUCUCGGGGAGUCGGUUCCUUACAGUUAUGCCCUUCGAUUCCUAUGGUUUGGUUCUAUCCCCUUACUACUUGAUUUUUGGCUUCACACCUUUCCUUCGGUUAUUCGCCUCCAAACUAGGAGGAUAGUUUUGCACUUUCUACCAUGCCUUAGGAAGUAUUCUUGGGGAUGAACCUACCCGACAGCCUAGGGAGUGGUUCCUCAAUCCAGGUAUGCUCACCUUAUAAUCCCACACACCGGGAUUAACGUUGUUGUUUAUGGGCCCUUACAUGCCCAUCACUAACCUUGCCAAAAUUCCAUUUUUGGCUUUGUCCAAUUCGGGUAAACAGUCUUCUCCUGUCUCCGCAACCUUGGACAUUUGGAUAGCACCUUCUAUCCAUCAUUCACGAGGAACUUAGUCCCUUAGGCCUUAUCUAUUGCCCUUGCAACACUAAACACCACCUCCUGGUGUUCCAGAGUGUUUGGGUGUCCCAAUGAUGGUCUCCUUGAUAAUGAGCAUUUCCUUUUAUGACAUUGACUCACUAUAUCGCAACAUAAGCAAUUUAUCCCCUAUAAGGGUAUAUCUAACUUCCUUAUGCCAUUUAGAAGUCUUGGGUAGCUACCUUCUACCCAUUUAACCAAUUAUGUUUAUACCUCUUGCUUAGUUGCCCCAUAGUUGUCAAGUCUUACAACUCAUUGCUUAGUGCUUCCACACCUCCAUCAUUAUCUGGGUCACCACACUCCAACUGCAUGCCUUUCAGCUUAGGCCAUGCCAUUUCCGCUUUCAUUGGGAUUCCCUUAGCAAGGGGUUUUUAUGAACCCACCAUCAUAACCUCAAGGUAUCACACCUUGGCACAUUUGGUGUCUCCACACCAUCGGCUCCACGAGCCUACCUCUAUGACACUUUUUACUUGUGUUUAGGUCUUUGCCAAGUCUAAAGUAGUCAUUUUUCAUGCCAACUAUCAGUUAGCACUGCACCAUAGUGCACACACAACUCUAUGCCAAAGUUGCUUUCUUUUUGGGGAACACCUUUCCCACAACUUUAGCAUAACACAUUCUGCCAUCGAUGAGAUACCCUCUAUUCUCAUCCUUAGAUCCUAUGAUCCCCCCCAUCCUUCGUGGGGUACAACACACCUUAGUCCAAAUGCUUCUAUCAGUCCUUUAGGACGAUUCCUUGACUCUACUUGAAUCAUCUAGCAGUUUUGGACUUGGUUAAUCCACAGAUUCGUAAGGUCCUACUUGUGAGGCACCAACUCACUAGAAUACAACUUCUUGCAUUCAUGUCCUACUCAUAAGGACUAUUUUCACAAGUGUUACUCUGACACUUGAUUUUGUUCUCUGGGGGCAACCUCUGCCCCUUAGGACUACUUGUCCAUGUGAUGAGAAUACCAACUCAUCCUCUAAGUACAUCCCCAACUCCUUGGGUUGUUCCAGCAUUCAUCAAGGGUAGCCUCGGCUACCAUUUCAAGGACUUGUGUCCUCUUCUGUAUUUAACCUCCCAUGGUCAUCAAUUCCAAUCUCAAAGUUAUGAGCACUAGCCUCAACUAUAUGAGGUAAUCUUGUGACUCCUUUAUUGUUUUGGAGUCUACAUCUUUCCCGUGAUCCCAACUAUAGUUAUUUACCACAACUAUGUUAGCCCGUUUGCUGCGUGAAACACUCAUCUGGAUCACAUCCUCAGCUCUCUGAGGAAACCUUAUACUGUUCCCAAGAUCCCAAAGUCAUUCCAUUAUUGGCCCUUUUCUAUCCACCACAUCGUGCCCAAGUUCACGCAUGAACUUGAGUGGAGAGCCAUGUCCUCUCGACAUGCUACUCCUCAAGGAUAGGCCCACUCCUAGGACCUUCCGAUGCCAGCAUCAAUGGUGAUAUACUUAAGCACCAAUAAAAGUCGGACUAAGGAACUUGGCUCCGAUACCAAGUUAUAAGCGACUAAAUUUUCCAUUCUACUUUAGUCAUUUAACCACACCUCCGACCACUUGGAAGAGUCUCAUUCACAACCUCCAUAAGUCCAAUUUAGAACUUGGGACUUGCUAGCCCCAAGAAUGGCAUCCAUGCCACUCAACCUUUGCACCUGGUCCAAAUGCUCCACAUGUCCGAUCCCAUGAUUGACACUCAAAGGUACCACCGACAUAGCAGCCUGUUACACUAAGGCCAUGUCCAAUCACCUUUACCGCACUGGUAGUCUAAUACCACUUGCAACACAGUCUUGUCUCUUCAAGACUGGGCCAACCAUCCGUGAAUGGUCAUCUCAGAUCCACUCCUUAGCAUCCUUAGGAUGCCCACUGACAAGGGGAACAACCUUCCCCAAUAUCCCUCUGUCCGUCCCCACUAAGUCCCUUUUUGCCCUUGGCCGUGUUUGCCAACACUGCCACUGGGUCGAGGCCCACAAGCCUGACCACUAAGUCCCAUGGUCCUCUGGGACUUCCUCACCACGUGACCGUAUCCUUGGCCACCACACCAAAGAACUGCUCCUUUUCCUUUCCACAGUCUGGGACUUUGGGACAACACUUCAGAAUACCGUGGCCUUACAUAAGCCACCUGGGUACUCUCCCCGCCUUCCACCUUUGGGUGCUCUAGCCAUGGGCUUAGAGCGAGGUUCCGUUGAGCCACGCUUGGUAUCCAAGUAGGUAGUGCCACCCACACUUGGACUGGGAGUAUCGGCUAGUCGAUCUCCCGGGGGAACUAGAGCUGGCUCUUGAACAUUUCACCAAGCUACCUCGCUUGUCGGUCCGUAUUCACUCUAGUCUUGGACUUCCCAGUGGUCAGUUCAUCACCCAACACUGGAUCUGGCCUUCCUGGGCCAAACUGGCCUUUCCUGGCCAAACUGGCUCCAUUGCAGUCCUCCCCCUUACUAUACUUUUGGAGCUCACCAAACCCCCCAGGGUCUGGGAGACGAACACUUUGGGCUUUCACCCUCUCAGACUCGAACUCAGACUCGGACUUGGACUCGGACUCAGGCUCGGGCUCGGUCUCGGCCUCGAUCUCGGUCCCGGUCUCGGUCUCGGUCUCGGUCCCGGUCUCGGUCUCGACCUCGGACUCCAUCUCGGGUCCUUCUCGGACUCCAUCUCGGAUUCCAUCUCGGGUCCAUCUCAGACUCCAUCUCGGACUCUGUCUCGGUCUAUCUCGAACUCCAUCUCAAACUCCAUCUCGGGUCCAUCUCGGACUCCAUCUCGAACUCUGUCUCGGUCCAUCUCGGACUCCAUCUUGGACUCUAUCUCGGGUCCAUCUCGGACACUUCCAUGUGUCAUGUGUUAGUCCUUUUUGGGUCCCUUUUUGGAGCCUUGCUUAUUGGUUGCCUCAUGCUCGCUCCUUGAGCACUUUGUUGGGAGUUCCACUCCCGCUCUCGACCUUCCAAGUCGGAGCUUUUGGUCCAAACGUGUUACGCUCGUUUGGCUUUCGCUUCGGCCACUACCACAUGGCACCCUUUUCGGCUCCACUUUGGGGCCUAGGGAUUUUGUGUCUCACAAUUCUCUUGAAAAGUGUCCUGCUUCACUGCAGUUGAAACAUAUGUUAUUUCUUACACUACUAACAAACUUAGCCUUCGUAUCAAUGGGUUUGUCUUUUUUCGCUUGCCUUCAUUUGUACUCCCCCACAUACUUGCUCACUGGCGACUAGAUCUGCCUUUCCAAAACCCUAAGGAUUCAUUUUUAUAAAACAAAUUCCUAAAUUUCCCUUUGCCAUAUAUCCCCUUGGUUUGGCUCAUUUGUUAAAUGUAGAUUCUGACCCAGUUGUGUUCCCCUUUCACAAAUUAGCAUUGAAAUGCACCUUAAUAAUUGUAUCCAAUGUUUCUUUGUAGUUAGUUGGGUUCCAAUGCAUCAUCUCGCCUCGAACCCAAAUCUGUAAGCCUGAUAUGAAGGCAUAGAAUACAUCCAUGUUGCCCAUAUCUGUGACAAGAAUCCUCUUCGCCAUGAAUGGAUUCACAUAUUCUUGAAUGGUUCUUAUCUACUUCAGCCUACUUAACUCAUUUAUUAGGUGUAGAGUAGCAUUUAGGGAAUAUAAAUUUCAUGGAUCCAUGCCUUCAUCAUUUCUCAAAUGGUCAUUAGCCCUUCGUUAGCCUCUGUUGUUCUCCACCAACACUUAGCAUUAUCAGUCAAGUAUGGUUUUGCAUAUAGGACCUUCUUCGAGCUAAGUAAUUGCAACACUUAGAAUCUUCUAUAUCGUAAAACUAGUCCUCCACCACUUUAUAGUCAUUUACUCCCUUGAAGACUGGUAAGGGCUUUGGUUUGUAGUUGGGAACUAUUCGAGGGACUAAUUCCACUUCAGUUUGUUUGACCUUAUUCGGUUCUGCCUCAGUCCCUGCCAAAGGGUCCACGCCUUUUACACUAGUAGCAUCUGAAGUCUUUUGCCUUUUCCUCUAUUUUUUAUCAAGCUUUAGCUUGUGUACGAGGGUCUCCAAUAGCACAUUAGUCUGUGCCAAUUGUCCUUUUAGAAUGUCCAAUUGAACCUUGGAUGACUGAAUCUCACCACUAAACUUCUAUUUGGAAGUUUCCUCACUGGAGUUCUCCUCUUGCAAAGAUUCUUCAUCCAUAACUUCUUGUUCUACUGGAGGAUCCAGCUCUAGAGGAGGUUCCAUCUCUACUUUAGCUCUUUUAUGCCUUACCUUAGCCAUCUUCAAGUAAUCUGCCUCUAUCUUUCGUUAGAAUUAAGGAAAAGGCUCCAAUACCAAAUUGUAAUUUACAAAUUUUUCCUUUCUAAUUUAUUAGUUUACCUUGUAUAUUCGACCACCACUACCUUAGCCUUAGUUAAGUUCUUUUGCCAAAGUUCCCACCUAUUAUACUAGUUUCUAUUUGGUUCUACUUGGUUUUAACUACUCACUACACAAGCAAUAAAGUGUUAACCAUCCAUCCAUAGAUUCCUAAUUUUUCUCCCAAUCCCCCUCUUUGGGUUAGACUAAAGUUUGGCUAUACUCCUUGCAAGCACACCAAGCCUUUAAAUUCCUAGCAUCUCUUGGUACAAUAAAACUUGAUUAUGGGACUCUCUGAAUCCCAAGCUUUAUGUGCAUCAUUUACUUUGGGACCCCAGGGGGAAACACCAUCACCUAAUGGCCCGGUAUGAGUACCCUUACCCCCCCCACUUCCAUCCUGAAGGGAAGGUCCAGGCCGCUAGGAAGGAGCAAGGACCAAUGAGCCAUAAGGUACUCAAGUGGGGCACCACUCUACAUGAGUUGGGAGCACUAUAGUCAAUUUCCCUUCUAGGAGUGAGAGUUCUUUUUGAGCACUUCUUUGGAUAACCCCUCUGGCAGCACUUGAAUCCAUAUUCACUCCCACCUGAGGCCCCUAAGCCCCAAUUUCAACCUCAAGUUAGUUUAAAAGCACCACUAAAGAGUUCCUUCAAAACUAAUUCUUAAACCUCACUAUCCUUUCUAUACUUUUGGAACCUUUUGCAACUGCCCCUUCCUUGUGGGAUGAUUGCUUUGGGCUUUCACCCCAUGACCUAUAUUAGUAUUUGGACUCGAUCUUAGACUCGAUCUCAAACUUAACCUUGAACUCAGUCUCAAACUCAAUCUCGGACUUGAUCUUGGACCUGACGUCAGACUCAAUCUCGGACUCGAUCUUGGACUCAGUUUUGGUCUCAGACUCGAUCUUGGAUCUCAGACUUGGUCUUAAACUCGGUCUCAAACUUGGUCUCGGAGUCAGUCUCAGACUCAAUCUCAGACACAGUUUCAAACUCAGUCUCGAACUCGAUCUCGGACUCGAUUUCAAACUCGGUCUUGAACUCAAUCUCGGAGUCGGUCUUCGACUCAAUCUCAAACUUAGUCUAAUUUAAUGAACUUUUUAUCAUUCCGGUCAUGGUUUCAGGGAUCCUUUAGCCUAGAGUUGGUUUUCUUACAUUAGUGUUUUUUCUUGAUUUGUAAUGUUUUCUUCUCUUGGCAUAUCAAUCAUUUAUAACUCUUAUAAUUUAAUUCUCAGUCCACUGUUCAAUUGAGUGUUUUCUGUCCUUCUUAUACUAAUUUAGAUAUUGAAUAUAUGCAUGAAAUUGAGAAUCUUGCAUUUGUUUCAUUAGUAAAGUCUAUGAUUAAUUUUAAUAUUGAGUAUUUCCUUGUUCCAAAGGUUGAGUCACUUCAACUAGAGUUUCAGAUGGAGUGCCUAUCCCCACUUGUGAGUGCUAUUGAGAAUCUUUAUUUUACCGUUGUUGUUGAGGAGUUUAUAUGCUCUCUUAAGAAUAUGAACGUUUUUAUUAUUUUCCUAUUUCAAGUGUUGAGGAGGUUGAGUAGUGUGAAUUUUUUGCUUAUAGUAUGGUAGGCUUUUAUCACAUAUCCUUCCUUUUUCCUUAUUUCUAUAUUGCUAACUAUUGAAAAUUCCUCUUCUUAAUGCUUCUUUGUCUAUUUUUUCUUACUCCCAUAACAGUUUUUCCUUAAUUUUCUCACUUUUUCCUUUUUGCCUCGAUAUUUUAAACUUUUUUUUCUUCAAAGGAGGGGGUAAAGGGGGUGGACAAGAGUCCAACCCUAAUGAUGAAGUGAUGAUGAGUGGAUACAAUAAUGAACCAAGGAUAAAUAAUAUAAAUUGUGAAGUGAAGACAAGCAUAGUGUGUCCAAAAAGAAUAUUUGGCCUCAAUAUAAUGUGACUGAGUGAAGUGAAACCAAACAUAAAUGGUAAAGUGAGAACAAACAUAAAUUUGAAUGGAGAAAAUUCUUUAGAAUUUAUUUUCCUUUGAAGAGGGGGUAAGGAGGAUGUGGAAGAUGAACAAAGUGAAUUUGACCUCCCAUAUAUAGUGCUAGAUGAAAGCAAAGGUUGUGAGUCCGAGUUAACACAAGUCUUGGAUGUUGACUGGAGGGAAGACUCAAAGAUAAAUUUGGAUUAUGGUUAUGAGUUUGAAUUAAUAAUGGUCUCAAAAGAUUAUCUAUGGGUAGAUUUAAAGGUGGGAUAUUGCAAUAGUGCUUUAUGGACUAUAGUAACUCUUGAAGUUCCUUGCUUUCAUUCAAAAUUAUAGCUUUAAGGUUGAUAUAUAUAUUCAUAUUAAAUUUAUUAUUGGGUCUACAAAACCAUUUUAAAGACUUGACUUAGAAGUCUUUUUAACUUUUAUAGUAAAUAAUAAAUAUUAUUACUCAUGUAAAUACUUAUUUUAAUUAGUACUUAGCUCCCACAAUUAAAACUUAUUUAUUUUUAUAAAAUUCUAAUCAGAUACAGUAACAUAUUAAUAAAUCUUCUCUUUCACAGUAACAUAUUAAUAAAUAUUCUCUUUCAUAGUUUUUUAUUCACUAGUAAAUUUCCUUUCAUUUACAACCAUUAAACAAGGUCAAAAUUUUAAUUUUAAAACAUUAUAAAGGUUUGAUAAAGAUGACUAUUAGGUCAGAUGUUUGCCGACAGCACUGCCACGGAUUCAAGGCUGGAGAUUUACGAGGAAUGAAGCGCGAUGAGCGCCUCACUCUCAACUUCGUGGGUCACACGUUCGUGGUUAUGGACACGCACGAGGACAAGAUCCUGUUCGUCCGCGACCGCAUUCGCGAACGCUUCCACAGCUAUGUCAUCUUUUGUAACACAGCUGAUUCGGUGGCGCUCGUCUCCAGCGCCCUCCUCUCUCCAGCGAAUGACAUGAAAUACAAUCCUUUCGACACCUUUCU
RNAcentral lists this long non-coding RNA (31302 nucleotides) under Selaginella moellendorffii. RNAcentral's name for it is "long non-coding RNA (SMOE_LNC001787)". Lineage: Eukaryota; Viridiplantae; Streptophyta; Lycopodiopsida; Selaginellales; Selaginellaceae. The record is from RNAcentral.